Molecule: transfer RNA, 53 nt
Filed under: Pirata subpiraticus
Lineage: Eukaryota; Metazoa; Arthropoda; Arachnida; Araneae; Lycosidae
Description: tRNA-Asp
Source: RNAcentral
ACUAAAUUAGUUAAUAAUAAUAUUAAUUUGUCAAGUUAAAGUUGAAUUAAUUC